UACAGAGGUCUCGAGCGUUAGGCGGAAUCACUGGGCUUAAAGCGUGUGUAGGCGGAUUGCUAAGUACCUUGUGAAAUCCCACGGCUUAACCGUGGAACUGCUUGGUAUACUGGCUGUCUUGAGCCACUUAGGGGCAACCGGAACAAACGGUGGAGCGGUGAAAUGCGUAGAUAUCGGGAGGAACACCAGUGGCGAAGGCGACUUCCUGGCCUGUUCUUGACGCUGAGGCGCGAAAGCUAGGGGAGCAAACGGG
Molecule: ribosomal RNA, 253 nt
Filed under: uncultured bacterium
Lineage: Bacteria
Description: partial 16S ribosomal RNA
Rfam family: Bacterial small subunit ribosomal RNA
Source: RNAcentral